RNAcentral lists this non-coding RNA (183 nucleotides) under Thermoanaerobacteraceae bacterium. Its description in RNAcentral is "6S RNA". It matches the Rfam family "6S / SsrS RNA". From Rfam's summary of the family: E. coli 6S RNA was the first non coding RNA to be sequenced, but its function was unknown until recently. It consists of 184 nucleotides that fold into an extended hairpin structure with a large single-stranded internal bulge. The record is from RNAcentral. Lineage: Bacteria; Bacillati; Bacillota; Clostridia; Thermoanaerobacterales; Thermoanaerobacteraceae.
AAUACCCUGCUAUGUGCGUGGACACCUUGAAGUUUUGAGCCAACACCUAUUAAAAGGGAGCCCGUGCUCUGGCUGUGGCUUGUAAGCCUCCACCGGGAGGACACAAAAAGCAGCCAGGAGGGCACCCACCUGUGGAGAGCAGGUUCAAGAAACUCUGGGGUUCACGGCAUCAGUGGGGUUUCU